UAAAAAAACCUCCCAAAACUCCCUCAUCUCCCCUCACUGUUCCGCCGCCUGCCCGCCCGCUGGAAAUCACCCACGGCGGCGGAGCACCACCAAAUGACCCAAAAGAUUCACCCUAUAAUCUCCACCCCGCUCUCAUUCCAAAUCCACCAUCAAUCUUCUCGAAAUUCCCAUCGAAUUCAAAGAAUAGUAGAUUCAAAAUUUCAGAAAAUCAAAGUUUUCCCUCUCCUUUCGUUGUUCGAUCAUUCAGGCUAGUUCACUGUGAAAACUUGCAUCGAUGGAAAGCUAUUGAUAAGAGCUAUCUACUGAUGCAAGAAUUGGUCCGUUUCUUGGUGGUCGAAGCCUGGUAAGCCGGACAUUGACCGGCCAAUUCCUCCUGGAAAUUCUCUAUGUUGCCUCAUCACCAUUUAGUUAGGACUAGGAUCGAUUCCGGGAUCACGACUUUGAUAUUCUUGAAGGCAGGCGUUCUGACCCCGGGUUCUAGCCCGAUAGGACUUGGAGUCGAUCUUCAUUCCUUUAUUGCCAUGUUCCGGGCGUGACCUACCAUGAUGUAGGCGAGCUCCAUUUCAACUGUAUGCAAAUAGUCCCCUCCUUUAUUGGAGAGUAGACGACGAAAAACGAUAUGAGCUUCUGAUUUUUACUUCGAUACCUCGCGAUAGAAACGACAAAAUAAAAGAAACGUCUCGUCAAUCAAGACUUAAUGGCAUUAAGUGCUUGUCAUUUGUUGGUCGGCUGCUCCUGGAUGCAAAAUGUCAUCGAAAACUAUAAAUACCUAUUCGUUGGUUCAUUUUAACUUUA
Long non-coding RNA from Nicotiana attenuata, 795 nucleotides. RefSeq lists it as uncharacterized. NCBI's taxonomy places the organism in Eukaryota, Viridiplantae, Streptophyta, Magnoliopsida, Solanales, Solanaceae. The record is from RefSeq and is a predicted model, not a curated record. The transcript is spliced from 2 exons.